Molecule: long non-coding RNA, 1763 nt
Filed under: Salmo salar (Atlantic salmon)
Lineage: Eukaryota; Metazoa; Chordata; Actinopteri; Salmoniformes; Salmonidae
Description: lncRNA (ENSSSAG00000084467.1, ENSSSAG00000120469.1)
Source: RNAcentral
CUUAUUUGGCAUGGAGGACUGUGUUAUGGUCACCCAAAGGUCAUCAGAUCCAUUGAUGAGCUGGAACAAUGUAGGGAGCAUUAUGAAAACCAACUGGGUCUGUGAGAACCAGACGCACAAUCAACUGGGUCUUUGAGAACCAGACGCACAAUCAACUGGGUCUGUGAGAACCAGAUGCACAAUCAACUGGGUCUGUGAGAACCAGACGCACAAUCAACUGGGUCUGUGAGAACCAGACGCACACAAUCAACUGGGUCUGUGAGAACCAGACGCACAAUCAACUGGGUCUGUGAGAACCAAACACACAAUCAACUGGGUCUGUGAGAACCAGACGCACAAUCAACUGGGUCUGUGAGAACCAGACGCACAAUCAACUGGGUCUGUGAGAACCAGACGCACAAUCUACUGGGUCUGUGAGAACCAGACGCACAAUCUACUGGGUCUGUGAGAACCAGACGCACAAUCAACUGGGUCUGUGAGAACCAGAUGCACAAUCAACUGGGUCUGUGAGAACCAGACGCACAAUCAACUGGGUCUGUGAGAACCAGACGCACAAUCAACUGGGUCUGUGAGAACCAGACGCACAAUCAACUGGGUCUGUGAGAACCAGACGCACAAUCAAUUGGGUCUGUGAGAACCAGACGCACAUCCAUGUUGAACACUAGUUGUAAUGGUUAUGGCUCCAUGGUUAAAGAAAGAGAUGUCUGGGAUUAUCCAACUGACAGGGUCUCUUUCAUGUUUGAAUCCCAGAUUGCACCUUUAUUAAGACUAUCUGGUGGAGUUGUGUUGGAUAUCCAUGUGAGGUUUUAAGCUGUUUUAGUUUUUAUUUGACAACAUUAUAUCAGAAAUGAACAUUAUAUCAGAAAUUAUUAUGGACUCCAGUGCACUAAAUAUACAGUAGAACUGAUCAGGUGUUAUAUUAGUAGUGAAGUAUACAUACAUACCAUUGUGUUUAUUUAACUAAGCAAGUCCGUUAAGAACAAAUUCUUAUUUACAAUGACGGUCUAGGUAACAGUGGGAUAACUGCCUUGUUCAGGGGCAGAAGGACAGAUGUUUACCUUGUCAGCUCAGAGAUUCAAUCCAGCAACUUUUCAGUUAUUGGCCCAAUGCUCUAACCACUAGGCUACAUGCCGCCCCAUUUAAUGUGUAUGUUGGGGCCUAGUCCCUCAUCCAGCGACUGUCAACACAACACCUCAGUCGUUACACCAAGAGAUAUGAAACCCUUGACAAGGUUGCUAGGUGUUGGGUUAAGGUCACUACAGUAUAAACUCAGUAUAGACCAGGUUAUGAGGUUGCUAGGUGUUGGGAUAAGGUCACUACAGUAUAAACUCAGUAUAGACCAGGUUAUGAGGUUGCUAGGUGUUGGGUUAAGGUCACUACAGUAUAAACUCAGUAUAGACCAGGUUAUGAGGUUGCUAGGUGUUGGGUUAAGGUCACUACAGUAUUAACUCAGUAUAAACCAGGUUAUGAAGUUGCUAGGUGUUGGGUUAAGGUCACUACAGUAUAAACUCAGUAUAGACCAGGUUAUGAGGUUGCUAGGUGUUGGGUUAAGGUCACUACAGUAUUAACUCAGUAUAGACCAGGUUAUGAGGUUGCUAGGUGUUGGGUUAAGGUCACUACAGUAUAAACUCAGUAUAAACCAGGUUAUGAGGUUGCUAGGUGUUGGGUUAAGGUCACUACAGUAUUAACUCAGUAUAGACCAGGUUAUGAGGUUGCUAGGUGUUGGGUUAAGGUCACUACAGUAUUAACUCAGUAUAGACCAG